This 354-nucleotide RNase P RNA is filed under the name uncultured Collinsella sp. RNAcentral describes it as "Bacterial RNase P class A". It matches the Rfam family "Bacterial RNase P class A". Rfam says of the family: Ribonuclease P (RNase P) is a ubiquitous endoribonuclease, found in archaea, bacteria and eukarya as well as chloroplasts and mitochondria. Its best characterised activity is the generation of mature 5'-ends of tRNAs by cleaving the 5'-leader elements of precursor-tRNAs. The record is from RNAcentral. Lineage: Bacteria; Bacillati; Actinomycetota; Coriobacteriia; Coriobacteriales; Coriobacteriaceae.
GUGGGCUAGACGGCCGCGCGCGGGGUUCCUUGGAGCGCUCGCGUGAGGAAAGUCCGGGCUCCAUAGGGCAGGAUGCCGGCUAACGGCCGGGCGGAGUGAUCCGACGGAAAGCGCCGCAGAAAAGAAGACUCCCACCUGCGCGCGAGCGUAAAGGGAAAAGCUGAAACGGUGGUGUAAGAGACCACCAGCGUCCUGGCAACAGGGCGGCUUGGCAAGCCCCAUCCGGAGCAAGCGCAAAUAGGGGUGCGAUGGGUCGGCCCGGCCCGCACCCGGGUAGCGUGCGUGGAACUGCGCGGUGACGCGUAGGCAAGAUAAAUGGUCGUCCCCGACAGAACCCGGCUUACAGGCCCGCUU